CGCGGCCUAUCAGCUUGUUGGUGGGGUGAUGGCCUACCAAGGCGACGACGGGUAGCCGGCCUGAGAGGGUGACCGGCCACACUGGGACUGAGAUACGGCCCAGACUCCUACGGGAGGCAGCAGUGGGGAAUAUUGCACAAUGGGCGCAAGCCUGAUGCAGCGACGCCGCGUGAGGGAUGACGGCCUUCGGGUUGUAAACCUCUUUCAGCACAGACGAAGCGCAAGUGACGGUAUGUGCAGAAGAAGGACCGGCCAACUACGUGCCAGCAGCCGCGGUAAUACGUAGGGUCCGAGCGUUGUCCGGAAUUACUGGGCGUAAAGAGCUCGUAGGUGGUUUGUCGCGUUGUCCGUGAAAUCCCACGGCUUAACUGUGGGCGUGCGGGCGAUACGGGCAGACUGGAGUACUGCAGGGGAGACUGGAAUUCCUGGUGUAGCGGUGGAAUGCGCAGAUAUCAGGAGGAACACCGGUGGCGAAGGCGGGUCUCUGGGCAGUAACUGACGCUGAGGAGCGAAAGCGUGGGGAGCGAACAGGAUUAGAUACCCUGGUAGUCCACGCCGUAAACGGUGGGUACUAGGUGUGGGUUUCCUUCCUUGGGAUCCGUGCCGUAGCUAACGCAUUAAGUACCCCGCCUGGGGAGUACGG
This 643-nucleotide ribosomal RNA is filed under the name uncultured marine bacterium. RNAcentral describes it as "bacterial SSU rRNA". It matches the Rfam family "Bacterial small subunit ribosomal RNA", at positions 232 to 885 of the family's 1533-position model. The record is from RNAcentral.